This 593-nucleotide long non-coding RNA is filed under the name Phaseolus vulgaris (common bean). Its description in RNAcentral is "long non-coding RNA (PVUL_LNC005028)". The record is from RNAcentral. Lineage: Eukaryota; Viridiplantae; Streptophyta; Magnoliopsida; Fabales; Fabaceae.
GGAACUCGAUCCGCAGAAGCUUCUGGCGUUCUUUUCACGGUUCGGGGAAAUUGAAGAGGGACCUUUGGGGCUGGAUAAGCUAACCGGAAAACCGAAAGGGUUUUGUUUGUUUGUUUACAGGAGUGCGGAGAGUGCGAGGAGAGCCUUGGAGGAGCCUCAUAAGGACUUUGAGGGGCAUAUUUUGCACUGCCAGAAGGCGAUUGAUGGGCCCAAGCCUGGGAAGUUGCAGCAGCAGCAACACGGGAACGUAAAUGCCCAGGCUCAGCGGACCCAGUAUCAGAGGAAUGAUACUGCCAAUACAGGUGGUGCGUAUGUUGGUGGUGCUGCGGCAGCACAGCCGGGGCACUUGAUGGCUCCAGCUGGGCCAGGGAUUGGGUUUAACCAGGCAACGUUGAAUCCGGCAUUGGGGCAGGCGUUGACGGCCCUCCUGGCGUCGCAGGGGACGUUGGGGCUGACGAAUUUGUUGGGGAGUAUUGGAACGAGUGCUGCGGUGAACCCUGGUGUGCCUGCUUCGGGGGCUGGAGUACAGAGUGGUUACAGUGCUCAGUCAAAUAUUAGUCCCGGUGUCAUUGGAGGAUAUGGAACCCAGGUGG